UAAUGCAAUGUAAAUAGAACAUCUGAGCUCAUGCCUGCAGAGAUGAAGGCUUUGAUUCCAACGCCCGCCCUCUCCCUGUCCCCACAAGUCUCUUUUUACAUUGGAUUACUUGCCUUCAAAAUGUGGUACAUAUGAUUUCCAAGUUCGACUAAUGAAAGAACAGGUGUUAAUUAGCAAAACUCUAAAAGCAGCGUUUUAAAUUUGUCACUUCUAAGAGGCACUGUACUGGAUAAAAGUGAAGCAAACAUGAAACCGAUCCAUACAACACUAACCUACAUAAACAAUAUCUCUACAAAAA
This is a long non-coding RNA of Sinocyclocheilus grahami, 298 nucleotides long. RefSeq lists it as uncharacterized. The record is from RefSeq and is a predicted model, not a curated record. The transcript has 3 exons. NCBI's taxonomy places the organism in Eukaryota, Metazoa, Chordata, Actinopteri, Cypriniformes, Cyprinidae.